Molecule: ribosomal RNA, 421 nt
Filed under: uncultured bacterium
Lineage: Bacteria
Description: bacterial SSU rRNA
Rfam family: Bacterial small subunit ribosomal RNA
Source: RNAcentral
UAAGGAAUAUUGGUCAAUGGACGCAAGUCUGAACCAGCCAUGCCGCGUGAAGGAUGAAGGUCCUCUGGAUUGUAAACUUCUUUUAUCUGGGACGAAAACGGGAUUUUUAUCUCAAUUGACGGUACCAGAGGAAUAAGCACCGGCUAACUCCGUGCCAGCAGCCGCGGUAAUACGGAGGGUGCGAGCGUUAUCGGGAUUUACUGGGUUUAAAGGGUGCGUAGGUGGGCUUAUAAGUCAGUGGUGAAAUCUCCGAGCUUAACUUGGAAACUGCCGUUGAUACUAUAGGUCUUGAAUUAUCUGGAGGUAAGCGGAAUAUGUCAUGUAGCGGUGAAAUGCUUAGAUAUGACAUAGAACACCAAUUGCGAAGGCAGCUUACUACAUAUAAAUUGACGCGGAGGCACGAAAGCGUGGGGAUCAAACA